GGUUUUAUAGUUUAUUUUAAAAAUAUUAAAUUGCAAGUUUAAAGAAGAUAAAAAUCUAAGACUU
This 64-nucleotide transfer RNA is filed under the name Zahniserius cylindricus. RNAcentral describes it as "tRNA-Cys". Lineage: Eukaryota; Metazoa; Arthropoda; Insecta; Hemiptera; Cicadellidae. The record is from RNAcentral.